GUAAGGAUCUAUCUUUGCCGGACGGGCUGGCCCCUAUCUAGCCCGCUGCACGUAUAGCCCCGAACGCGGACUGGGCGGCACAACCAACCCCGCGAAGCUGUCUUUUUAUAAUUAUACGAAGCCGGGCGAGUCUGCGUCUCGCCGAGAGCGGUUCUGCCCUUCGGGCGGGGGCCUCUCUCGAACCAAAGCGCACCCCACUUUUCAAACCCCAAGCGUAAACUCUGAAUCUGAACCUUAAAGGUGGCCGCCCGCCCCACGAAGGCGGGCCCUCCUCCAACCAUUAAACGUUGUAAAACUUUCAGCGACGGAUGUCUUGGCUCCCCCAACGAUGAAGAACGCAGCGAAAUGCGAUACGUCUUGCGACUUGCAGAAUCCAGUGAAUCAUCAAAACUUUGAACGCACCUUGCGCUUCCGGGAUAUUCCUGGGAGCAUGCUUGUCGGAGUGUCUGUUAACUCCACUCGCCCCCCACCCCCCCCC
RNAcentral lists this unclassified non-coding RNA (478 nucleotides) under Cladostephus spongiosus. RNAcentral describes it as "Cladostephus spongiosum sequence contains 18S rRNA gene, ITS1, 5.8S rRNA gene, ITS2". The stretch from base 294 to 448 matches the Rfam family "5.8S ribosomal RNA". Lineage: Eukaryota; Phaeophyceae; Sphacelariales; Cladostephaceae. The record is from RNAcentral.